CGGUAGCACAGAGAGCUUGCUCUCGGGUGACGAGUGGCGGACGGGUGAGUAAUGUCUGGGAAACUGCCUGAUGGAGGGGGAUAACUACUGGAAACGGUAGCUAAUACCGCAUAACGUCGCAAGACCAAAGAGGGGGACCUUCGGGCCUCUUGCCAUCAGAUGUGCCCAGAUGGGAUUAGCUAGUAGGUGGGGUAACGGCUCACCUAGGCGACGAUCCCUAGCUGGUCUGAGAGGAUGACCAGCCACACUGGAACUGAGACACGGUCCAGACUCCUACGGGAGGCAGCAGUGGGGAAUAUUGCACAAUGGGCGCAAGCCUGAUGCAGCCAUGCCGCGUGUAUGAAGAAGGCCUUCGGGUUGUAAAGUACUUUCAGCGGGGAGGAAGGUGUUGCGGUUAAUAACCGCAGCAAUUGACGUUACCCGCAGAAGAAGCACCGGCUAACUCCGUGCCAGCAGCCGCGGUAAUACGGAGGGUGCAAGCGUUAAUCGGAAUUACUGGGCGUAAAGCGCACGCAGGCGGUCUGUCAAGUCGGAUGUGAAAUCCCCGGGCUCAACCUGGGAACUGCAUUCGAAACUGGCAGGCUAGAGUCUCGUAGAGGGGGGUAGAAUUCCAGGUGUAGCGGUGAAAUGCGUAGAGAUCUGGAGGAAUACCGGUGGCGAAGGCGGCCCCCUGGACAAAGACUGACGC
Molecule: ribosomal RNA, 688 nt
Filed under: uncultured Enterobacterales bacterium
Lineage: Bacteria; Pseudomonadati; Pseudomonadota; Gammaproteobacteria; Enterobacterales
Description: bacterial SSU rRNA
Rfam family: Bacterial small subunit ribosomal RNA
Source: RNAcentral